This 86-nucleotide small RNA is filed under the name Lactobacillus kalixensis. Its description in RNAcentral is "SAM-III sequence". It matches the Rfam family "SAM-III riboswitch aptamer (SMK box)". Lineage: Bacteria; Bacillati; Bacillota; Bacilli; Lactobacillales; Lactobacillaceae. The record is from RNAcentral.
AGUCGGUUCAAGUCCUGAUAGGAUUCAUUUAUUGAAGAUGCCUUGUAACCGAAUAGCUUUUAGCCUAUAUAGGGGGACUAUUUAUG